AGCGAACGCUGGCGGCAGGCUUAACACAUGCAAGUCGAACGGACACUUCGGUGUCAGUGGCGGACGGGUGAGUAACACGUGGGAACGUGCCCUUAGGUUCGGAACAACACAGGGAAACUUGUGCUAAUACCGGAUGUGCCCUUUGGGGGAAAGAUUUAUCGCCUUUGGAGCGGCCCGCGUCUGAUUAGCUAGUUGGUGAGGUAAAGGCUCACCAAGGCUACGAUCAGUAGCUGGUCUGAGAGGAUGGCCAGCCACACUGGGACUGAGACACGGCCCAGACUCCUACGGGAGGCAGCAGUGGGGAAUCUUGCGCAAUGGGCGAAAGCCUGACGCAGCCAUGCCGCGUGGAUGAUGAAGGUCUUAGGAUUGUAAAAUCCUUUCAGCGGGGACGAUAAUGACGGUACCCGCAGAAGAAGCCCCGGCUAACUUCGUGCCAGCCGCCGCCGUAAAAC
This 452-nucleotide ribosomal RNA is filed under the name uncultured bacterium. RNAcentral's name for it is "bacterial SSU rRNA". It matches the Rfam family "Bacterial small subunit ribosomal RNA", at positions 29 to 526 of the family's 1533-position model. The record is from RNAcentral.